Molecule: ribosomal RNA, 752 nt
Filed under: uncultured bacterium
Lineage: Bacteria
Description: bacterial SSU rRNA
Rfam family: Bacterial small subunit ribosomal RNA
Source: RNAcentral
CCUACCCUUUGUACGGAAUAACUCGGGGAAACUCGUGCUAAUACCGUAUGUGCCCUUCGGGGAAAGAUUUAUCGCCAAAGGAUGGGCCCGCGUUGGAUUAGCUUGUUGGUGGGGUAACGGCCUACCAAGGCGACGAUCUAUAGCUGGUCUGAGAGGACGAUCAGCCACACUGGGACUGAGACACGGCCCAGACUCCUACGGGAGGCAGCAGUGGGGAAUCUUGCACAAUGGGCGAAAGUGAUGCAGCCAUGCCGCGUGAGUGAAGAAGGCCCUAGGGUUGUAAAGCUCUUUCAGCAGGGAAGAUAAUGACUGUACCUGCAGAAGAAGCCCCGGCUAACUCCGUGCCAGCAGCCGCGGUAAUACGGAGGGGGCUAGCGUUGUUCGGAAUUACUGGGCGUAAAGCGCGCGUAGGGGAUUAGUCAGUUGGGGGUGAAAGCCCGGAGCUCAACUCCGGAAUUGCCUUCAAUACUGCUAGUCUUGAGUCCGAGAGAGGGUGGUGGAAUUCCCAGUGUAGAGGUGAAAUUCGUAGAUAUUGGGAAGAACACCAGUGGCGAAGGGGCCACCUGGCUCGGUACUGACGCUGAGGUGCGAAAGGUGGGGAGCAAACAGGAUUAGAUACCCUGGUAGUCCACGCCGUAAACGAUGAGAGCUAGUCGUCAGGCAGCAUGCUGUUUGGUGACGCAGCUAACGCAUUAAGCUCUCCGCCUGGGGAGUACGAUCGCAAGAUUAAAACUCAAAGGAAUUGACGGGGG